Molecule: small nuclear RNA, 184 nt
Organism: Dermacentor silvarum
Lineage: Eukaryota; Metazoa; Arthropoda; Arachnida; Ixodida; Ixodidae
Product: U2 spliceosomal RNA
Exons: 1
Source: RefSeq, a predicted model, not a curated record
ACAUGACCGACGCGGGUCGGUAUAUAGUAUCUGUUCUGAUCAGCUUAAUAUCUGAUACGGGUUGUAUUUGAACCCAAGAUAUUAAACCUAUUUUUGUAAGUUGGCGGAGUGUUUGAAGCGUGCUUCACCUCCACCGUGGGUCAGCCCAGUAUUGCACAUCUUCGAGAUAUUUAGUCUAUAGACA